This 1599-nucleotide long non-coding RNA is filed under the name Capsicum annuum. RNAcentral's name for it is "long non-coding RNA (CANN_LNC003196)". The record is from RNAcentral. Lineage: Eukaryota; Viridiplantae; Streptophyta; Magnoliopsida; Solanales; Solanaceae.
UCCCGCUCAAUAUUCCAAAAAUAAAGAUUUCACUAUAAUUAAUAUUUGUACAACGAUAAGAAUAAUAAAAAAAAUACAAGUACAAAAGAUUCAAGCUUUCUUUGAAUAUCAUUUCCGACGAGUAUUCCCAAGAACCUGUACAAACACUUGUAAUAAAAAUGUUAGUAACGAAAUAAUUACAAAAAAGCAUGUGCACAUAUAUGUAUUUAAAAAAUAUAUUUUUUUAUUAAAAAGCGAGUUCAGAUAAAGUUUUUAAAAAAUAUAUAAAAAUUUUAUCAUUGCCCAAAUUUAUUUAUUUUAUUACGUAUUUGUAUACAUAAUAUCCAUCUUUUUAUUUGUGGAGGUCUCAAAAAUCGACGCAGAUCUUCUUAAUAGGCCAAGUGUCAACCCUUGAUAUAAAAUAACUUUGAUAAAAUAAAAUCCGUUUUUUGUAACGAGGUGACCUUAAAUAUUCAGACGGACAGAUAAUUUCAUUAGCCAAGCUUCGACCCUUAAGAUAAAAUAAUAAUUUUGAUAAAAUAAAGUCCAUCUUUUGUGACGGGGUGGCCUCAAAGAUCCCGACAGAAAGAUAAUUUUAUUGGCCAAGUAAAAGUUAAAUUUAAAAUAAAAUUCAUCUUUAUAAUAGGUAGACCUCAAAAAUUCAACCGAAAUAUUUUAUCAUUAUCAAUUAAACUAUUCAAUAUCCAACUAAAAUAAAAAAUAAUAACAGAUCAACAAAACACAACUCAAGAAUAACAAAACAGAAUGAUAAUGUAAAAAUUAUAACAAAUACGUAGGAAAAUGAGAGCACAAAAACUAAAAAUAAAAAUUAAACCAAAUUAUCUUUAAAAAUCAUGAAAGAAGUUGCAACAAAACUAAGAGAAAAUAACAUUCUAAUAUUAACAUUAAACUUCAAACAAAGAAUCUCAAAUUAGAAGGCAUUAACAUUGUCAUAGACAUAAUUGAUCAAUUCAAGAACAAUUUGAAUAUAUGUAGACCCACAUGUAAUAAUACGAAAAAUAAAAUUUGUGGAGGUCAAAUCUCGAUGGGAUCUGAAUGUUACCGAAGUUAUGACUUGAUAUUACCGAAUUUUGUGCUUCUCUGGUGCUGAUGUUGUUUGCCAUGAAGGUUGUUUGGGGAUGAAGAAAGGGAGAGAAAGGAGGGAUGGGGGCGGGGAAGAACAAAGGGGGAAAAAGAAGGUAUGGGGCGUGGAUGAAGAAAGGGAGAGAAAAGAGGGAUGGGGGCGACAGCGGGCUGCCGGACUUGAAACAGCUUACGGCGACGUUCCGAUUUCUGGUUCGUAGGAAUUACAGGUUCGUUGUUGUCUGGAGCUCGUCGGUUAUCAACUCCGGCGAUCCAAUGGUGGAGCGGCGGGUGGAGGAGAAAGGACGAGGGGCGGUGGUGUUUUGGGGGUUUUUCGACGGUAAUGAAGGGCUAUAGGAAAGAAAGAGAGAGAGGAGGAAGGGGUACGGUGGCGGUGCCAUUGGGCAAAAUCCAUCGGAGCUCCAGUGGUGGUGGGGCGGAAGUGAAGGGAAAAGGGAGAGAAAGUGAUGAGAGAGAGUGAGGAUUUGGUUUGUGUGUCGGUGUAUUAGUGUAUACGUUAGUGUGUAUAUGUGUGGU